RNAcentral lists this ribosomal RNA (488 nucleotides) under uncultured bacterium. RNAcentral's name for it is "bacterial SSU rRNA". It matches the Rfam family "Bacterial small subunit ribosomal RNA", at positions 29 to 491 of the family's 1533-position model. The record is from RNAcentral.
AAUGAACGCUGGCGGCGUGCCUAACACAUGCAAGUCGAACGAGAAAGGGGCCUUCGGGUCCUGAGUACAGUGGCAGACGGGUGAGUAACGCGUAGGUAACCUGUCCUCGAGUGGGGAAUAACCUGGCGAAAGCUGGGCUAAUACCGCAUGACAUCCCCGGGUCUCCGGGUCUGAGGAUCAAAGAUGGCGAACUUCGAGUGCUAUCGCUCGAGAGGGGGCCUGCGUCCCAUUAGCUAGUUGGUGAGGUAACGGCUCACCAAGGCUUCGAUGGGUAGCCGAGCUGAGAGGCUGAUCGGCCACACUGGAACUGAGACACGGUCCAGACUCCUACGGGAGGCAGCAGUGGGGAAUUUUGCGCAAUGGGGGAAACCCUGACGCAGCGACGCCGCGUGGGCGAUGAAGGCCUUCGGGUCGUAAAGCCCUGUCAGGAGGGAAGAAACGUGCGGGUGUUAAUACCAUCCGUGCAUGACGGUACCUCUGGAGGAAGC